RNAcentral lists this ribosomal RNA (448 nucleotides) under uncultured bacterium. RNAcentral describes it as "partial 16S ribosomal RNA". It matches the Rfam family "Bacterial small subunit ribosomal RNA", at positions 356 to 795 of the family's 1533-position model. The record is from RNAcentral.
CGAGAGGCUUCGUCAAUGGGGGCAACCCUGAACGAGCGACGCCGCGUGAGCGAUGAAGGUCGUAAGAUCGUAAAGCUCUGUUAGUGGGGAAGAAACCCCGGGGUGCUAAUACCACCACGGCUUGACGUUACCCACAAAGAAAGCUCCGGCUAACUCCGUGCCAGCAGCCGCGGUAACACGGGGGGAGCAAACGUUGUUCGGAAUCACUGGGCGUAAAGGGCGCGUAGGCGGCCUGGUCAGUGAAACGUGAAAGCCCCUGGCUCAACCAGGGAAUGUCGUUUCAUACUGCCAGGCUUGAGGACGGGAGAGGAGAGGGGAAUUCCCGGUGUAGCGGUGAAAUGCACUGAUAUCGGGAGGAACACCAGUGGCGAAGGCGCCUCUCUGGCCCGUUCCUGACGCUCAGGCGCGAAAGCAGGGGGAGCAAACAGGAUUAGAUACCCGUGUAGUC